RNAcentral lists this unclassified non-coding RNA (399 nucleotides) under Paspalum parviflorum. Its description in RNAcentral is "partial external transcribed spacer". Lineage: Eukaryota; Viridiplantae; Streptophyta; Magnoliopsida; Poales; Poaceae. The record is from RNAcentral.
CGAGCGCAUGAGUUGUGCUGGACCUGUGACUACCGGGAGGACCCCCGCUGUUGUGCGGCCGACUGCCGGUGCCAGUGUCCCUUCAAUCGUUGGCUAAUGUGUGCCUACCGCUUUACGAGUGCUUGCGUGCUGCUACCAGUAACACUGGAAGUUGCAUUGCUAAAUGUUGGUUUUGUCGUGCAUUCCCUUCGGGUAUGUCACGUCAACUGUGAAGCUAUCAUGGCGUUGCCUCGUGUUGCUGGCUGUAUGGGUUAGCGACAUCAUGGCCACCUCAUGGUCGCGAUUGGUCUCGGAUGUGGCAAACUCUAAAGGCUGUAGGUGCUCAGGCACCUCAGGCCUCUUGUUUGCUCGGAAACAACGACAGUAGGCCUGGCUGAUGCCUCGUGCAUAGCUAGCGUU